GUAGGUGGCAAGCGUUGUCCGGAUUUACUGGGCGUAAAGAGCGCGCAGGCGGUCGAUCAAGUCGCGUGUGAAAGCCCCCGGCUCAACUGGGGAGGGUCACGCGAUACUGAUCGACUCGAAGGCAGGAGAGGGUAGUGGAAUUCCCGGUGUAGUGGUGAAAUGCGUAGAUAUCGGGAGGAACACCAGUGGCGAAGGCGACUACCUGGCCUGUUCUUGACGCUGAGGCGCGAAAGCUAGGGGAGCAAACGGGAUUAGAUACCCCGGUAGUCCUAGCCGUAAACGAUGGACACUAGGUGUUGGUGGUAUCAACCCCGCCAGUGCCGAAGCUAACGCAUUAAGUGUCCCGCCUGGGGAGUACGGCCGCAAGGCUA
RNAcentral lists this ribosomal RNA (371 nucleotides) under uncultured bacterium. Its description in RNAcentral is "bacterial SSU rRNA". It matches the Rfam family "Bacterial small subunit ribosomal RNA", at positions 527 to 896 of the family's 1533-position model. The record is from RNAcentral.